GAAAAUGAAAUCAAAUGUCGAUAUUUCAUUUACAAUGAAAAUUUGUUUAAAACCGUUUUCU
This 61-nucleotide transfer RNA is filed under the name Haemaphysalis kitaokai. Its description in RNAcentral is "tRNA-Val". The record is from RNAcentral. Lineage: Eukaryota; Metazoa; Arthropoda; Arachnida; Ixodida; Ixodidae.